RNAcentral lists this ribosomal RNA (613 nucleotides) under Stictonectes samai. RNAcentral describes it as "partial 16S ribosomal RNA". It matches the Rfam family "Bacterial large subunit ribosomal RNA", at positions 1895 to 2730 of the family's 2925-position model. Lineage: Eukaryota; Metazoa; Arthropoda; Insecta; Coleoptera; Dytiscidae. The record is from RNAcentral.
UUCCUUUAUAUUUAAAUUAAAGGUCUAACCUGACCACUGAAAAAGCUUGAAUGGCCGCAGUAAAUUGACUGUGCAAAGGUAGCAUAAUCAAUAGUUUUUUAAUUAAAAGCUUGUAUGAAUGGUUGGACGAGAUAAAAUCUGUCUUUAGAUAAAAAGUAGAAUUUAAUUUUUAAGUUUAAAAGCUUAAAUUUUAUUAAAAGACGAGAAGAUCCUAUAGAUCUUUAUAAUAAAUUAUUUAUUUUUAUUGUGAAUUAUUUAGUUAUUUUAGUUGGUUUAUUAUUUUAUUCGGGUAAUAUUAAGAUUAAAGUAAUUCUUUUUUGAAAUAACAUUUGUUUUUGGUUAAUUGAUCCAUUAUUAGUGAUUAUAAGAUUAAGAUACCUUAGGGAUAACAGCGUAAUUUUUUUAGAGAGUUCUAUCGAUAAAAAAGUUUGCGACCUCGAUGUUGUAACUAGGUGUAAUAGUUUAGAAUUUUGGUCUGUUCGAUCAUUAAAUUUUUACAUGAUCUGAGUUCAGACCGGUGUAAGCCAGGUCGGUUUCUAUCUUUAGUUAAUUAAAAUAUUUUAGUACGAAAGGACCAAGUAUUUAAUAUAUUAGGUAUUUUUAAUUUGAAUAU